AUUGAACGCUGGCGGCAUGCUUUACACAUGCAAGUCGAACGGUAACAGGCCUUCGGGUGCUGACGAGUGGCGAACGGGUGAGUAAUGCAUCGGAACGUGCCCAGAGGUGGGGGAUAACGCAGCGAAAGCUGUGCUAAUACCGCAUGUGAUCUGAGGAUGAAAGCGGGGGACCAGGCAGCAAUGUUUGGCCUCGCGCCUUUGGAGCGGCCGAUGUCAGAUUAGGUAGUUGGUGGGGUAAAGGCCUACCAAGCCGACGAUCUGUAGCUGGUCUGAGAGGACGACCAGCCACACUGGGACUGAGACACGGCCCAGACUCCUACGGGAGGCAGCAGUGGGGAAUUUUGGACAAUGGGCGCAAGCCUGAUCCAGCAAUGCCGCGUGCGGGAAGAAGGCCUUCGGGUUGUAAACCGCUUUUGUACGGAACGAAAAGGCUCUGGCUAAUACCUGGGGCUGAUGACGGUACCGUAAGAAUAAGCACCGGCUAACUAC
RNAcentral lists this ribosomal RNA (489 nucleotides) under uncultured bacterium. RNAcentral's name for it is "partial 16S ribosomal RNA". It matches the Rfam family "Bacterial small subunit ribosomal RNA", at positions 30 to 504 of the family's 1533-position model. The record is from RNAcentral.